AAGAGGCAAAGAGAUAUUUUUAAUAAUAAAAAUAAUAAAAAAUGUUUUGGUGUUUCUCAGUAACAAUUACAGCAAGAACCUAUAAUUAAGUCAGAAUUACCAGAAUGCUCUUCCAGUGUAUAUAGAACACUGAAAUAUUUGAGCUUUGAAAAGCCAUGGCUCCUGAAAAUCUUGUUUCAAUGUUUGGAGUUGACACAACUCAGUGAGAAUUUUCCUCAAGGAAACUGUAUAUGGUUAUAUCUCACAUACAGGUUCCCUGAAUUGUUUUUCCUGAAAAAAACUAAUUGUUGAAAAUGUGUGAUAUGAGGAUAGUCUUUGAGUAAUCAUUGCCUAGAUAUGAUGGAAAAAAGUGCAUACAGACAUCCUGUAGUCCUUAUUUCAGCCUCCCAUUGCACUGAUGUACCAGUAAAUGGGUAUAGAAAUAGCUUUUCUUGAACUUUGUCAGACAAAUGCAAAUAUGGCAUAAAAUCUUUUCUUCAGAGUUAGGUUCAUACUUGUGAACUGCUUAACUCCAAUUUCCUUGUUCAAUAUUUCUUUGCUAGAAAUAAAGUGGAUUCCAUCAGCGAGCUAAGAUAUAAAUCUUGAAUGACUGAGAACUUUGGGAACUGGUUGGAAUAAUGGAUUGAAUGUCACCUGUGUAUGCAAAGUUGUCAGAAUCUGUCAAUCUUCAGGAAGGCUUUGAGGUGGGCAGCUUUUGCAAUGGAAUGUGGAAGCAAUUUAUGUGAUGGAACUGGCAAGAUAAACACCUGAGAUGACAUGGAGACACUGGGGAGCUUUGAAGGCAAGUUAUAUAAAUGUGAACUAAAAAUGAAAGAGGGGAAAUUGAAAUGAAGAUAAAAAGGUUUUAAAUACCUGAGGGCAAGGUAAAAGGAAAGCAAAGGCCUCAGAUUCAUUGCUGUGUAUUCUAGGACCCAAGUCAUAUGAUCAGAGUGAUUUUUCUUUUCUAAAACCAAAAGAAUAUGUCAAUGUAAAUUUUUUUUAUGGUAGAGGAAACAUGCUUGAGGUUUUCUCUAUCACUCAUUUGCAAAUGGCAGUGCUCAAAUAGUUAUGAAAAUUAAUAGAACAGGGUGUUUUAUUUGUUAGUUCACCUAGGGAAGAGUCAUAUCCUCCAGAGAAAAUACAUUUUUUUCUUUCACCUGGUGGAGCUAACUUUAAACUCUCUUUAAAAGACCAUGGGAGACUCAUGGAAAGCAUUAAUGUAAUGUUGCCAAGCAUGUGCCUUUUUUCUCUUUCCUUCUGCCACUGAAGUUUUGGGUUGCUGCAAUUUCAGUUUGCCUCUUUGCUCUGCUAAGGUUGCUGUCAUUGGUUCACCACGUUCCUUGGGUAUUUGCUGCACAUUUUACUGGCAAGAGCAUGAAUAGAAAUAUAAUUCUGACAUUAAUUAGCUGAGAAUGUGUGCAUCGUUGGAGAAGCAAUAUUUCCAGAAAAAAUCAUUCAAUUGAGGUUGUUUUUCAGGGUCUCUCCUGACUACUGGAUUUAAACACUGAAAAAGAAAAGGGAGCUGUGACAUCUAAAGGUGAUAAAUAAAUAAAUAAAUAGAUAAAUAAAUAAAGACUGGAGGGGGUUUGUUGAGGGUGUCUCACUUUGGCAGGACACUCACUGGGCUCUGGAGGUACCAUCAGAGGCAGAAACUAAAUAAAGCAGCUCUGCUAUGAAUGACUCCACAGGAUAUCAUGAAACAGUGAUCAAAUUGUGACAAAAAGCACAAUGACAUGCUUAUUUAUACUCUUAUUUCACUAGAGGAAGUGAAGAUAUUUAUGAAUGAUUACUUAGUCAAAUACCCUGGUUCUCACAAUAGGUUUCUAAUUUCUCUUACUUGCCAUAAAAUAGGGAUGACAAAAACCCAAGAAAUUAAAGGAUGCCACAUCCCUUCAGAGUGAGGGAAAGGCAGUAAGCUGAAAGUAGAGCUGUGUUGCCCAUGGGGAGCGUGCUGUCUGUCUCUUGAGAGUCUCUUUGGGAGCCUCUUUGGGAGUCAGCUUGACCAUGGGCUGGACAUUUGUCCAAGCACUCCAUUGAUUUAGAUUACUGAAUGCUUGAGACUCGUGGUCUCAAAAAUAGAGUUGCAGAAACCCUGAUAUAAACCUACUGAAAGA
This is a long non-coding RNA of Taeniopygia guttata (zebra finch), 2093 nucleotides long. RefSeq lists it as uncharacterized. NCBI's taxonomy places the organism in Eukaryota, Metazoa, Chordata, Aves, Passeriformes, Estrildidae. The record is from RefSeq and is a predicted model, not a curated record.